Non-coding RNA from Peromyscus leucopus (white-footed mouse), 538 nucleotides. The record is from the annotation of a RefSeq genome assembly. NCBI's taxonomy places the organism in Eukaryota, Metazoa, Chordata, Mammalia, Rodentia, Cricetidae.
UCACUGAGAGCCCCAGCUCUAGUUUCCACAAACAGGGCUGGAAGACAUCAGAUCUUGCCUUGGUCCUGAGAUGGACUCCAGGCUCUUCUGUGUGGCCUUGAGUCUCCUGUGUGCAAAACACAUGGAGGCUGCAGUCAUCCAAGACCCAAGAAGCAAGGUGACAGUAACAGGAGGAAAGGUGACACUGAGCUGUCGCCAGACUUACAACCACAACUAUAUGUACUGGUAUCGGCAGGACCUGGGUCAUGGACUGAGGCUGAUCCAUUACUCAUAUGGUGCUGACAACGUUGAGAAAGGAGAUGUCCCUGAUGGGUACACGGUUACCAGACCAAACCAAGAGAACUUCUCCCUCAUUCUGGAGAUGGCUUCCCCCUCUCAGACAGCUGUGUACUUCUGUGCCAGCAGUGAUGCACAGCAGUGUGUGGCUGUCUCCUCUCUGCACAUAAAGUAAAUUAGGAAGACAAGUUUCCUGUGUACUCCAGGAAGUCCGUGCCUCUGUAAGAGUUACUGAGCUCUAACAAACCAGGAACAUUUCAGC